UCUCUUCCAAAUCACGUGUUUCUUUCCAAAUCAGAAUCUUUCCCUUUCGCUCUAAAACCUAACUUCAGAGUGUUCCGCUCCGCGAUUAAGCCAUGUUGUAGCAGCGAUCUUCGUCGCGCCAACUCGGCCGUGCCGUCUCCGUCGCGCUAGCUCUGCCGCGUCGUCUCCGUCGCGCCAGCUCUGCCGCGUCGUCUCCGUCGCGUCAGCUCCGUCCCGCGGUCUUCAUCGCGCCAGCUUCGUCGAAAACCUAAGUUCAGAGUGGCAAUCGAUUCCGCUCCGCGAUUAAGCCAUGCCGUAGCCUCUGUUGCAGCGAUCUUCGUCGCGCCAGUUUCGUCUUGUGGUCUUUUGAGAGGACAUGGUGUGGGUCCUUUUGGUUUGAGACUUUUGGUGUGGGUUCGAUGCAUGAAUUCUCUCAGUUUUUAGUUCUUCAGUUUGAACUUGUUCACAAUGGUCGAGGUUCACAUUAUUUUAUUGUGUUCCAGCAAUUUAAUGUUUGCUUUUGUUAGCCAGGCAGAGCUAGCAGUUUCUGAAUUUUCUGGAAAUGGUGCUGGAAUACUAUCUACUGCUAGCACAGCUGCCAGUACUUUUCUCUUAGUUUUUGUCUCCGAAUGGGGUGAUUAGUCAUUUUUCUCCACAAUUGCCCUUGCAGCUGCCUCUUCUCCCUUUGGAGUCAUUGCUGGAGCACUGGCGGGUCAUGGUGUUGCAACUUUGCUCGUAAAGCACCGGAAAUAAGGCUAUGCUAUCUGGAGAAGACCUUAUGUUUUGGAAGAGUCUAAUUCAUCUAGCUGUACUCGGGGGCUCUUUACUUGGAACGUAUUUAUCAGAGAAGCUGUCAAUGGACUCAUCACCUAAUCUCAACUAGCAUCCUGGUUUUAUUCUCUAUCUCUUUAUUCAUUUGUCAUUUGUCAUGUUUAUGUGGCCUAUAUUAUUAAAACUAGCAUUAUUUGUGUGGCCUACAUAGAAGAACAACUACCAUUUGUGUGGCCUAUAUUAUUAUGCAGAAAAUUUAAAAACUGUUCUAAUGUAUAUUCUAAUACUAAAACUUACAAAACACUAUUAUAACAAUGAUAACAAACCUAAAUUGCCCUUUAGAAACUAUUAUUAAAAUUAUCUACUCUCUAGAAUUAUAACAGCAAAAUAAAAAAAUGCACUUAUGAAACAAAAAACACCAAAACUAAAACUGCAGCAAAACAAAGCAAGUAAAAUAAAACUAAUUUUCUAUCUCUAACUAGCUCUAAACUAAACUAAACAACUUCAUAUUCACUAAACUAUCUAAUUAGAUAAAAUGAGGGCUCUGUGAAAUGUGUGAAUGUGCUAAGGGUUUCACUUUCAUAUAUAGAGACAAACAUUAGAGAUUGAUCUAAAAAAUGUUUCUGUUUCUGGUUUCAUUCUGCUCUCAUUUGGUCACGUGAUAUUAUGAUUAAGCAGCAUGAUAUAGUAAUAAUCAUCCACCAUAUUAUAUAUACUUACACAUGCAUCACUCCAAUCAUACAAAAAAAGUGUACCAGAUCAUUUUUGUUGUAGCCUCCAUCAUUGAGUAUUUUCUUCUUCUUCUUCAUGUUCUUGUGGUGUUUAGCAGAUUUUUGUGCAGUUGUAGAACUUUCUGGAGUGGACAAAUUGCAGCACCAUUUCCAUUUGGUUCUGCACCUUUUAUUGGCUUUCCACUGAGUGUUAUUAUGUUGACAUGGCUGCUUCUCCCAGUGCUGACAUGGCUACUUGAGGGUAUGGAUUUUCAUAAACAGGAAUCACAAGUUAGUGAGUUCUCAUUAAUAUGAAAUUGAAGGAGCAACAUUUGGUAGUCACUUCUGAGAAGCAAACUGGUGAUGUAAAUGAGCCUGAGUCUUCUAUGGGUACAAGAGGAUCAUCUGGUGGUAGCAACAUUUAGGGUGUUGAUGAUGUUUUUUAGGAUGAAACUAUUUUAGUGUAUUAUGAACUUUGAGUAAGUAUGGAUUAAGUUGUAAUUGUUUCAAUUUAAAUUGCUUUUAUGUUAAUAUGUUG
Molecule: long non-coding RNA, 1998 nt
Organism: Vigna unguiculata (cowpea)
Lineage: Eukaryota; Viridiplantae; Streptophyta; Magnoliopsida; Fabales; Fabaceae
Source: RefSeq, a predicted model, not a curated record